RNAcentral lists this long non-coding RNA (508 nucleotides) under Mytilus galloprovincialis (Mediterranean mussel). Lineage: Eukaryota; Metazoa; Mollusca; Bivalvia; Mytilida; Mytilidae. The record is from RNAcentral.
AAACUAGUUGUGAAUUUUUAAACAUUGGACAAAAAUGUUAUAAUACUAAUUAUUGAAAUAUGAAUUUCAUUUAUUUACUGGCUGGAUUCUGAACCAAUUUCCGUUAAAACUAUUAAGAAUUGAAGUUAAAUAUAAAAUUUCUCUUACACUACAAUUUGCAAAUAUUUUAGUAUUACUGCAGUUCCUAAAAGCAAUUGUGUACAUAUCAGUCUGUUAAAAUACCCUCCUAGAGUUUUGCCCCUUUAUAUCUAGGUAAAUUGCUUUUUCAUUUUUGAGUAUGUCCCCUUCUUAAGUCCCCCCUCCAACCAAAUUUUAGAGUUAUGUCCUUUUUAACUUUGAAAAUUGCAGAGCUUGAGCGGGGGAAUUUGUGUCCUCCUACAUAUUAUUCUUUAUUUAUUUAAAUUUCUGAAAAGUUGCAUACUAGCUGUACCAAUAAUAAAAUUACAUUUAUUGUUCUUUAAAUAAUAAUAAAAAAUAUUGUCUAUUAUUGCUUUGAUUAACAUUAACA